GGCCGAUUAGCUCAGUGGUUUGAGCGCGGUGCUGAGAGCAAUGACCAACACCGAGGUCACGAAAUCGCAGGUUCGAUUCCCGCUCGGUCC
RNAcentral lists this transfer RNA (90 nucleotides) under Apaloderma vittatum (bar-tailed trogon). It matches the Rfam family "tRNA". Rfam says of the family: Transfer RNA (tRNA) molecules are approximately 80 nucleotides in length. Their secondary structure includes four short double-helical elements and three loops (D, anti-codon, and T loops). The record is from Rfam by way of RNAcentral. Lineage: Eukaryota; Metazoa; Chordata; Aves; Trogoniformes; Trogonidae.